AACGAACGCUGGCGGCAGGCCUAACACAUGCAAGUCGAGCGAACCCUUCGGGGUUAGCGGCGGACGGGUUAGUAACGCGUGGGAAUAUACCCUUUGGUACGGAAUAGCCUCGGGAAACUGAGAGUAAUACCGUAUGUGCCCUUCGGGGGAAAGAUUUAUCGCCAAAGGAUUAGCCCGCGUUGGAUUAGAUAGUUGGUGGGGUAAUGGCCUACCAAGUCUACGAUCCAUAGCUGGUUUGAGAGGAUGAUCAGCAACACUGGGACUGAGACACGGCCCAGACUCCUACGGGAGGCAGCAGUGGGGAAUCUUAGACAAUGGGCGCAAGCCUGAUCUAGCCAUGCCGCGCGGACGAUGAAGGCCUUAGGGUUGUAAAGUCCUUUCAGAUGGGAAGAUAAUGACGGUACCAUCAGAAGAAGCCCCGGCUAACUCCGUG
RNAcentral lists this ribosomal RNA (433 nucleotides) under uncultured bacterium. Its description in RNAcentral is "bacterial SSU rRNA". It matches the Rfam family "Bacterial small subunit ribosomal RNA", at positions 29 to 507 of the family's 1533-position model. The record is from RNAcentral.